Molecule: unclassified non-coding RNA, 1478 nt
Filed under: Hevea brasiliensis (rubber tree)
Lineage: Eukaryota; Viridiplantae; Streptophyta; Magnoliopsida; Malpighiales; Euphorbiaceae
Source: RNAcentral
AGAAGAGGAAAUAUCCAGAGUCCGAAACGGUCCACCAGAAGAACGCGGGAUUUUCCCGCCAAGACAAAAAUCUAAGCUUCUUUUCCACUCUCUCUAAUCUCUAUAUGCAACAGAAACAAGUACCUGGCUUAUUCUUGUUCUCUUCUGUAAUGGGAAGCAAGUAAAUGAAGACAACAAUGGAAGCUAAAAGGAGCAGAAGAAGUAGUAGAAAGCGGCUAUCAGAUUGCACUAACUUCACCGAUUCUAUAAACCAUCUCUAUCUUCAUCAUCAUCCACCAAAAACUCCUCUUCUCUUAUCAAACCCAGUAAGCUCUUACCCACAAACACUCACACUACCAAACAAAGCGAAACCCACGCGAAUUCAACUACUGGAUCCGCCGCCACUGGACAUAUCGACAACCACCUAUUAAACCCUAAUAUCGUUUUGCUUACAACUACUUCCACGCCUUCUCGGGCUUCAUAAACUUCUUCUGUUGCUGGUACUGCUAGUCAUAAGGUUUCUGAGCCAUGUUUAGUUUACAGUCGGAGACAAUCAGUAGAUAAGAGGAAGAGUAAAGGGAAGGCCGUUACUGUGCCCAUAAGUUGCUUUUCCGCGGUAAAGAAUCAGUUUACUAGGGAUGAAAUGAAUGAAGGUGGAGUUACCAGGCUAUCCAAAUCCUGCACAGUGCCUUACAAAAAGGUUUGGAGAUUUUUUUUUUUUGUCUAUAUUCUCACACCAUUUUUUCUAUUGCAACUUCUCAUUUUAUCUCUGUCAUUAAGUGCCUUUUUACCAUUAUUAAUCAAAUUACUAUAAGUUGCUUAUCAUGAAAAUUUCAUGAGAAGAAUUUGUUGUGUAUCCCAGUUUAUGUUGACUGAUUUAUUUGUGCUUAAUGCACCUGCAAAGUGUGGUAUCUAUUGGCAUGGCUCCAUGCUUUAGUUGAUUUCAACCUCAAAACUUACGGCUAUAUUCCUAGGAAAUAGUGUUAAUUCACUCUUGCAUAACCGCCAGCUGCAGUGAGAGCCACGUGAAGAUCAGAGUACUCCCCACUCAUGAGGUUAACAAGGGGUAAUUAUUAACCUUGUAACUUUUAACCUCCUCAUUAAUGUUAUUUGAUACUUAAAGAGACUUGGUUAAUUUUUAAUCUAAUUAAUGUUUAUACUUUCUUGAGGGGUUAAAUGUUAACUUCGGGGACUAUAUUAAUAAUUAUCCUCUUUAGAGGUUAAAACUUAUAAUGGUAACAUUUAAUCCUUGAUUUUUUAAUCUUAUAUGAAACACAUUCUUAGUCUUAAUACAUAUGAUUUAAAAAAAAGUAUAUUUAUAUAACAUUUAGAAAAAGUUAUAGCUCACUAAUAUUAAUCUAUUAAUUUAUGGGCCCUUAAUAGAGAUGUAUAGCAAAAUAUCCACCUUAGUUUGUUCUCUGGCUGUGCAUCUAAUUUGAAAAACAUAUUAAGAUAAAUAGUAUAGUUCUUAAUUAAUGACAUGACUUUUAUAGUGGACA